GAGGCAGCAGUGGGGAAUAUUGCACAAUGGGCGCAAGCCUGAUGCAGCCAUGCCGCGUGUNUGAAGAAGGCCUUCGGGUUGUAAAGCACUUUCAGCGGGGAGGAAGGCGAUAAGGUUAAUAACCUCGNGCGUAUUGACGUUA
This 142-nucleotide ribosomal RNA is filed under the name uncultured Gammaproteobacteria bacterium. Its description in RNAcentral is "partial 16S ribosomal RNA". It matches the Rfam family "Bacterial small subunit ribosomal RNA", at positions 345 to 477 of the family's 1533-position model. The record is from RNAcentral. Lineage: Bacteria; Pseudomonadati; Pseudomonadota; Gammaproteobacteria.